Molecule: ribosomal RNA, 253 nt
Filed under: uncultured bacterium
Lineage: Bacteria
Also listed under: 1 other name
Description: partial 16S ribosomal RNA
Rfam family: Bacterial small subunit ribosomal RNA
Source: RNAcentral
UACGGAGGGUGCAAGCGUUGUCCGGAUUUAUUGGGUUUAAAGGGUGCGUAGGCGGCCUAUUAAGUCAGUGGUGAAAUCCUACAGCUUAACUGUAGAACAGCCAUUGAUACUGAUGGGCUUGAGUUCAGACGAGGUAGGCGGAAUUUAUGGUGUAGCGGUGAAAUGCAUAGAUACCAUAAAGAACACCGAUUGCGAAGGCAGCUUACUAGACUGAAACUGACGCUGAGGCACGAAAGCGUGGGGAUCAAACAGG